AUGCCCAUCCAGCACACACUGGACAUUACUCCCUUGCCCUUUACAGCUCCAGAGUUCCAGGCUAUGCCAAAAGCCCGUUGCGUGUCAUGCCAGGAGUAUGUUCCCCUGCAGCUCCUAAGCCUCCACGUUAAAACAUGUGCCAAGACUAAAGGCAAUGACGGGAACAAAUCUGAUAAUGACAUCAUUGACUUGGAUCAUAUGGUCUUCGACGCUGAGAAUGUGGUGUCCACUGAUGUGCAGUCGUCAUCAUGGUUGGCGCAUAAGGUGUCUGCUGAUGUGCAACUAGUAUAUUUGAGCAAGCAACUGUCACCAGGUAAAGUCUGGAUAUCUGAAGAGUCUGUUGAUGCUGGUCAGUGGGGCCGAACCGACCCUCUCCGUCCCCUGCUUGCAUCCUCCCAUCCUGCCGACAGCGCAUGUUCUCAUCUCCGCCGCUGGCAUUAUGUGCCCACCUGCGACUGUCCCGCCGAAAAAGGGUCUCUCAUCCGGCAUUACGUGCCCGCCAGAGAGUCUACAAAAGGCGCAUCUCUCUCCUCCCUCCAUGUUGUCUGUGCCGCUGCGUGGUUUUACACAGACACAAAUGAACAGCAAACCGAUACCUUUGAUGACACCGAUGAACAACAUGAUUACAACAGUUGGUGGUUGCCUAGCAACGGUAAAGCGUCAGCUCUUUCCCUUCUAUGUUUGUCCGCUGUGUGUAUGGGGCAGGAGCUGUGCUUGGUGUCUCCGUCAGUAACCAUCAGCUGUUUCUCUGUUGUCAGAAUAAAUUCCGUGAACCUGACUAUAGCCUGUGUGUUGUCUCUACUGAUCCGAACCGAACAAGAGGGUUACAGUUACAUGGGCCCAAUUAAUGUUGACCAGAAAAAGGCCAUCACAGAUGCUGUUACUUUGCAUGGACUGUUGAGGCUCAUCCCAAUCCUGAACCAGCUACGUGAGGAGUUGAGGCUGUAUGGAGUAGAUGAGGUUUUGGGCCACCAUGACCAGAUGUGCAAGCAACUAUUUGUUCCUGGCUUCAUACAGGAGAGGCGCUAGGAGAGGCUGGGUGGGGUUAUCGACGACCGGAGCCGCCGUCACAGACGCACCUGCAGCAGGUUGGCAAUCAGCGGCUGCUGACUAAAGCCUAGGUCUUCACGCUGCCUGCUGCCAGAUGAUUACUUCGACUAGAUGUGGUACACGGCUCACACAGACUGUAGCUACUACGGCUUCUACUGUGUUCCCCGGUCUCUUGCUGAGAUUAAUUACUGUUGUGUCCUUUCCCUAGUGACCCACGACCCGGCUACCUGCACCACCUGCUCCAGCCUCCCAGCUCCUCGCACCUGACCCGGCUCUCCCUCGCCCUGCGCCGUCUGGCGCACCCGGCGCAACCCCGGCAUCCCUGGGAAAAACCCCUGCACAGACCAUCCGCACUCCACCAGACAGGGACUCCGUCGGGAGCGCUCAGCGUUCGUUUAUUCAGUGUUCAAUAAAUCACCAAGUUUCUACCUCUGAUCUGCCUCCGUGUCCGCUCUUGGGUCCCUGUCCACCCGGCUCAACACUGAUUCUUCAAUCACCAAAAUUCUGCGGUGGUUAUUUCUGGACAGAUGACCGAUGCAAAUAUUAAUCACUGCUGCUCCAUUGCUAGGGAAGCUAUAGCAUAGCAACCACAGCCAAAGACUGGGGAACAAUCAGUUCACAUUAACAUCAUUAAAGUCUGUGUAAAGCAGCAAUACAUUUGUGUUAUGAGUUUGUCACACCACAGAAACGUGUCAUUGACCACUGAGCCAAAUGUGAAAGAUUUAAAAAAUUGCUAAGUAUAUAAAAUUAGGUCUCAAAAUCAUGAAAAACAAGCACUUCUUUCUGCUGUGAGACAGUGGGGGCAUGUCAGAGGCGCUGGAACCACACCCACGCGCGGGAGGGGAGCCUCCUCCAUGUACU
RNAcentral lists this long non-coding RNA (1911 nucleotides) under Sparus aurata (gilthead seabream). RNAcentral's name for it is "lncRNA (ENSSAUG00010012358.1)". Lineage: Eukaryota; Metazoa; Chordata; Actinopteri; Spariformes; Sparidae. The record is from RNAcentral.